AGGACGAACGCUGGCGGCGUGCUUAACACAUGCAAGUCGAGCGGUAAGGCCCUUUCGGGGGUACACGAGCGGCGAACGGGUGAGUAACACGUGAGCAAUCUGCCCUUCACUUCGGGAUAAGCCUCGGAAACGGGGUCUAAUACCGGAUAUGACUGCGCCAUGCAUGUGGUGUGGUGGAAAGUUCUGGCGGUGAGGGAUGAGCUCGCGGCCUAUCAGCUUGUUGGUGGGGUAAUGGCCUACCAAGGCUUCGAC
Molecule: ribosomal RNA, 252 nt
Filed under: uncultured soil bacterium
Lineage: Bacteria
Description: partial 16S ribosomal RNA
Rfam family: Bacterial small subunit ribosomal RNA
Source: RNAcentral